GCCGCGGUAAUUCCAGCUCCAAUAGCGUAUAUUAAAGUUGUUGUGGUUAAAAAGCUCGUAGUUGGAUCUCGGCGGACUGAGGGCGGUUUGCUUGCUAGUAUUACUGCCCUAUAGUCCGUAGUUUUGCCAGAGGUUUCGGGGUGCUCUUAAUCGAGUGUCCCGGGAUGCUGGCAGGUUUACUUUGAAAAAAUUAGAGUGCUCAAAGCAGGCUAUUACGCCUGAAUAUUCGUGCAUGGAAUAAUAGAAUAGGAAGUCGUUUCUAUUUUGUUGGUUUUCGGAAAUCGACUUAAUGAUUAAUAGGGACAGUCGGGGGCAUUUGUAUUCAAACGACAGAGGUGAAAUUCUUGGACCGUUUGAAGACAAACUACUGCGAAAGCAUUUGCCAAGAAUGUUUUCAUUAAUCAAGAACGAAAGUUAAAGGUUCGAAGGCGAUUAGAUACCGCCCUAGUUUUAACCAUAAACGAUGCCAGCUAGCGAUCUGCGGACGUUUUUUUUGUAGACUCCGCAGGAAGCUUCCGGGAAACCAAAGCAUUUGGGUUCCAGGGGAAGUAUGGUUGCAAAGCUGAAACUUAAAGGAAUUGACGGAAGGGCACCACCAGGAGUGGAGCCUGUGGCUUAAUUUGACUCAACACGGGAAAUCUCACCAGGCCCGGACACUGGAAGGAUUGACAGAUUGAUAGCUCUUUCUUGAUUCGGUGGGUGGUGGUGCAUGGCCGUUCUUAGUUGGUGGAGUGAUUUGUCUGGUUAAUUCCGAUAACGAACGAGACUCUGUCCUGCUAAAUAGUGUCUGCUUCUCUUUUGAGCAGACAAUUCUUCUUAGAGGGACUGGCGACUCUUAGUCGCACGAGAUUGAGCAAUAACAGGUCUGUGA
RNAcentral lists this ribosomal RNA (871 nucleotides) under uncultured eukaryote. RNAcentral's name for it is "SSU rRNA". It matches the Rfam family "Eukaryotic small subunit ribosomal RNA", at positions 573 to 1467 of the family's 1831-position model. The record is from RNAcentral.